UAUGGCAGAUUAUAUGUAAUGGA
RNAcentral lists this transfer RNA (23 nucleotides) under Graphium agamemnon. RNAcentral describes it as "partial tRNA-Leu". The record is from RNAcentral. Lineage: Eukaryota; Metazoa; Arthropoda; Insecta; Lepidoptera; Papilionidae. RNAcentral also lists the same sequence under 45 other names.